AAAAAUUAUUUAUGGUUUAUUAUAAUUUAUUAUUUAUUUAUUUUACAUAUAAAUUUUAGUAAAUAUUUAUAUUUAUUUUAAAAAUAAAUGUAUAUUAGUAUAUGUAGUAAUUAGUAUUAAAAAUUUAAGAAAUUAAGAUUUAGUAAUAUAAAAAUUAAUAACAAAUUUUGUGCCAGCAGUUGCGGUUAAACAAGAAUUAAAUUAAAUUUUUUUUAGUUAAUAAUAAAAAUUUAAAAUUUUAUAUUAAAUAUUAAUUUAUUAAGUGAAAUUUGAAAUUAAUUUAAAUAUAUUAAAAUAAAUUUUGAUUUAAUAAAUUUAAUUAAUUAAACUAGGAUUAGAUACCCUAUUAUAAAAAAAUUUAAAAAAAUUAUACUAAAAUAGUAGAUAGAUAAUAUUUAAACUUAAAUAAUUUGGCGGUAUUUUAGUUUAUUUAGAGGAAUCUGUUUAAUAAUUGAUAAUCCACGAAUAAAUUUACUUAAUUUAAGAUUUUAUAUAUCGUUGUUAAAAAAAUAUUUUUGAAUAAGAAAUAAUAUUUAAAAACUAUAAUAUUAGAUUAAAUCAGAUCAAGAUGUAGAUUAUAAUUAAGAAUAUAAUGGAUUACAAAAAAAAAAUUUAAAUGAAUAUUAAUUUGAAAUAAUUAAUUGAAGGUGGAUUUAAAUGUAAUUUUUCUUUUAAUUUAUUUAAAUGAUUAAUAAUUAAAAUAUGUACAUAUUGCCCGUCACUUUCAUCUAUAAAUUGAAAUAAGUCGUAACAAAGUAGAGGUACUGGAAAGUGUUUCUAGAAAG
Molecule: non-coding RNA, 785 nt
Filed under: Parasa lepida
Lineage: Eukaryota; Metazoa; Arthropoda; Insecta; Lepidoptera; Limacodidae
Source: RNAcentral